GACGAACGCUGGCGGCGUGCUUAACACAUGCAAGUCGAGCGGAAAGGCCCUUUCGGGGGUACUCGAGCGGCGAACGGGUGAGUAACACGUGAGUAAUCUGCCCCUGGCUUUGGGAUAGCCACCGGAAACGGUGAUUAAUACCGGAUGCGACCACUUCUCGCAUGGGAUGGUGGUGGAAAGUUUUUCGGCCAGGGAUGUGCUCGCGGCCUAUCAGCUUGAUGGUGAGGUAAUGGCUCACCAUGGCUUCGACGGGUAGCCGGCCUGGGAGGGUGACCGGUCACACUGGGACUGAGACACGGCCCAGACUCCUACGGGAGGCAGCAGUGGGGAAUAUUGGACAAUGGGCGGAAGCCUGAUCCAGCAACGCCGCGUGAGGGAUGACGGCCUUCAGGUUGUAAACCUCUUUCAGCAGGGACGAAGCGCAAGUGACGGUACCUGCAGAAGAAGCACCGGCCAACUACGUGCCAGCCGCCGCAGUAA
This 480-nucleotide ribosomal RNA is filed under the name uncultured bacterium. RNAcentral's name for it is "partial 16S ribosomal RNA". It matches the Rfam family "Bacterial small subunit ribosomal RNA", at positions 28 to 523 of the family's 1533-position model. The record is from RNAcentral.